RNAcentral lists this ribosomal RNA (253 nucleotides) under uncultured bacterium. RNAcentral's name for it is "partial 16S ribosomal RNA". It matches the Rfam family "Bacterial small subunit ribosomal RNA", at positions 524 to 776 of the family's 1533-position model. The record is from RNAcentral.
UACGUAGGCAGCGAGCGUUGUUCGGAAUUACUGGGCGUAAAGGGCGCGUAGGCGGCUUGACAAGUCACUUGUGAAAUCUCCGGGCUUAACUCGGAAUGGCCAAGUGAAACUGUCAUGCUAGAGUGCAGAAGGGGCAAUCGGAAUUCUUGGUGUAGCGGUGAAAUGCGUAGAUAUCAAGAGGAACCCCUGAGGUGAAGACGGGUUGCUGGGCUGACACUGACGCUGAGGCGCGAAAGCCAGGGGAGCAAACGGG